UCGCAAGAGGACUGGGAGACAGGUGUUGCAUGGCUGUCGUCAGCUCGUGUCGUGAGAUGUUGGGUUAAGUCCCGCAACGAGCGCAACCCUCACUCGAUGUUGCCAGCGUAAAGUCGGGAACUCUUCGAGAACUGCCCGUGUAAGCGGGAGGAAGGUGGGGAUGACGUCAAGUCAGCAUGGCCCUUACAUCCUGGGCUUGACACAUGCUACAAUGGCCGUUAAACAAAGGGAAGCAAUACCGCGAGGUGGAGCCAAUCUCAUAAAUACGGUCUCAGUUCGGAUUGCAGGCUGCAACUCGCCUGCAUGAAGUCGGAAUCGCUAGUAACCGCCGGUCAGCUAAACGGCGGUGAAUACGUUCCCGGGUCUUGUACACACCGCCCGUCAAGUCACCUGAGUUGUCUGCACCCGAAGCCGGUGGCCUAACCGCAAGGAGGGAGCCGUCUAAGGUGUGGGGAGCGAGGGGGACUAAGUCGUAACAAGGUAGCCGUAUCGGAAGGUGCGGCU
Molecule: ribosomal RNA, 504 nt
Filed under: uncultured Armatimonadota bacterium
Lineage: Bacteria; Bacillati; Armatimonadota
Description: bacterial SSU rRNA
Rfam family: Bacterial small subunit ribosomal RNA
Source: RNAcentral